AGAAUCAACGCUGGCGGCGUGCCUAACACAUGCAAGUCGAACGAGAAAGUGGAGCAAUCCAUGAGUAAAGUGGCGCACGGGUGAGUAACACGUGACUAACCUACCUUUUAGUGGGGGAUAACCUAGGGAAACCUGGGCUAAUACCGCAUAAUACCUACGGGUCAAAGCAGCAAUGCGCUGAAAGAGGGGGUCGCGGUCGAUUAGUUAGUUGGCAGGGUAAUGGCCUACCAAGACUGUGAUCGAUAUCCGGCCUGAGAGGGCGCACGGACACACUGGAACUGAAACACGGUCCAGACUCCUACGGGAGGCAGCAGUGGGGAAUUUGCGCAAUGGGGGAAACCCUGACGCGGCAACGCCGCGUGGAGGAUGAAGUCCCUUGGGACGUAAACUCCUUUCGAUCGGGACGAUAAUGACGGUACCGGAAGAAGAAGCCCGGCUAACUUCGCGCCAGCAGCCGC
This 458-nucleotide ribosomal RNA is filed under the name uncultured bacterium. Its description in RNAcentral is "SSU rRNA". It matches the Rfam family "Bacterial small subunit ribosomal RNA", at positions 26 to 518 of the family's 1533-position model. The record is from RNAcentral.